Molecule: long non-coding RNA, 3097 nt
Organism: Dreissena polymorpha
Lineage: Eukaryota; Metazoa; Mollusca; Bivalvia; Myida; Dreissenidae
Exons: 3
Source: RefSeq, a predicted model, not a curated record
UAAAGAAGUGAAACUCCAGCUGCUGGAGCAGUAUUGAAUUCUCAUUAAAAACAAUUAGUUGGUCCUUUAUUUAAGGCAAGUGACCGAUUGCCCAAACAGUACAAAACAGCACAAUGCAGCACAAUACAAACCAACAUAAACACAAAAUAUGAAUAAAGCUGGGGUCACCGCCUUGGAACGGUCAAUGCAAAGCAUUGGGGGUUUAAACCGGUUAUAGAGCGCUCAACCUCACACUUGGCCCAGCAAUAUUCAUAAUACAUUAAAGUGUAAAUAAAAUUUAACGUCAUAGCUGUGUAACUCAAAUCAAACAAUAAUAAACGGGAAUUAAAACGCAUUCAAUUUAAUUACAAUUUAAUUACUCAAUGAUAUUGAAGAUACCAGAGCAACAAAGUUACAACAUUUUGACGAACGAUAAAAUGAAACUACAAACAAGUGUCAACUGCAUUUCUUCUUUAUAGAAAAAUAUUUAAGAAUAUAGCGUCAUUUAGUAAAUAUUUCAGAUAAUCAUCGCGCAAAUACAGGAAGAAGCAGCAAUAAUGGGUGUAAAAAUUCCAUAUUACAUUGAUUGGUUGUUUAUGUGACUGCUAAAAAUUAAAUUAAUAAUAAUUAAAUAAAAAAAGAAACGCCUAUAAGAGAGAAAAUAUAAAUAAAAUUGAACGUUAUAAACCCAAUGACCUAUGCAGUCACGAUGUGCAUAUUCGAAUCGAAUUUGAUUUAUCUAUUUUGCAGUACGAAAGAUAACAUCACCUUUGAACGGCAACACAUUGUUUUGCAAAUAUCUAAUUGUUUUAAUUGUUUUAAAAUUGUAAUAACACGGCGUACACAAUUUAAAGUUAAAGUUAAAUAAAUCGUUUUUGAGCUGAAAAGUAAAAAUGAUUAAAUUUAAAGGCCUACAGUGUGAAAGGGGAAAGAGUAUAUUGAAGAGCUCUUUCAUGAGUUAUGAAACGUUCGUCAUCAAAAUAAUUUGCGAACAACAAAUAUUACAUUUAUAUCGAUGGUAUUUAACAUAUCUUAAAUCUCUACGCUAUGCUUAUUCAAUAAGAUUUAAAGUAGUUGUGUUUGAUGUAGUAAAUGUUCGUAACGGGUCAUUGUGUAGAAAAAACGGUAUGUUGUAUAUUCAAAGUGAAAGUUUGGUUAUUUUAAAACAUAUUAUCCACUUUAUUUUACUAUAUGUGCUUUUUUAUCAAUUACAACUGGUUAAUAAACGGUUAAUUUUCUUACGAUUAUGCACUUCUCAAAUAUACAUUGAGUUAUUCCAUAACUGGAGUGUAUUUUGUUCAAGGUGUCGACAUUGUGUUUGUGUUUAAGCACUAAUUUGCAAUCUAUUAUACGCAGCAUAUGUUGAACUUAAACUAUAAGUCAAUUCAUUGCACAAACAUUUAUUUUUUUUAAGAAAAAUACUAAUCUUAUUUAUUCAAUAAUAAAAUAUUUAUUUGUUGUUUGAUUUGAUUGCGUAUAAUGAUUGGAUGGACUUAUUUUGAAUAUGUCCUGUUUUGCCCUUUUAAGGUAUCGCGGAAAGUCUGUGCGGUUACGUGUCAAGCAGUAAAGUCUACACUUACAAUGGUGACGUCAAGAUAAAAUUCACCUCUAGACCCCUACAGUGGGUCCACGCAUCAUUCACUUUGAUCGUAACGCUGUAUUCGGAUUCAAGUGCGUGUGGAAGCAGGAAUCAUGUUUGCGACAACGGGCGGUGCAUUGACUGAGAUUUGAAAUGCAACGGUUAUAAUUCUUGCGGAGAUAACUCCGGUUGUGCAGACGGCCCUUGUGGAUUUUUUGGUUCAGGCGUCAGCAGAGGUGUAGGAAUGUAAUCGUCCUCGUCAUAGUCACAGUUACGAUUAUCUGUUGCAAUAGAAGACCCAUCAGAAUACCCACACAGCAAUCCCGACCCACAGCACCUACGAUGCAAGUUGUGUAUGCUGUCAGUACCAAUUCUGGGAACUUUAACAAAGGGUUUCCACAGGAGCUUUACGGAAUACAGAUGCAACACACAGCAGCUAAUUUCCAACCGAGAACUCCGUCAUUUGACCUUGUCACCUCCUCCGUAUGACCCAACUUGGGCGCCAAAAAAAGGAAACCAGAUUGCCAAUACGCCUUUGUAGCGAAUCAGAACAUACAGACACACAUUGAGAAAGCUACAGGGGCCGAAGAGCCGAACACGCACGGAGAAGGAUAUAUUAAGUAUAAGCUCAAUGCUGAUCGUUCUGAUGAUCACUACCGUACGCCUGGGGAUGUAGCUUUAAAUGAUAAUCAACGCACGGAUUAUGCACACCAUUGAACUCAUUCUUUUUUAACGCUUAGCAUUAUAACGUCGUUUUUGAACAAACUGUUUAUGUAAAAUAAAACAUACACUAAAACUGUAGAAAACUCUUUUAAAACACAUUUUGUAUAUACUUACUUGUUGAGACCUUGAAUGUGUGUGUUUUGUCAUACGUUGGAAUAACACAAAUGCAACGUGAAAUGAUCAAUGGUAAACAUGUCCAUAGGUAUAUUUCAAAUGAUCAAAUAUCUGAAAAUCUCAAUUGUAACAUUUAUUAUAGACACUGAACCCGUAUACAUGUUCAUGGUUAUGUUUAAUUGCUACAAAUAUAAAAGGAUAGUUUUUUUUAAUUGACCUUGCUGAUUAAAAUUAAGGCUCAUCUUGCAGUAGUCGUAAUAUACAAGAAUUAUUACUUUAUGACUUACACUGUAUUUUACAAUAUGAUUUUAUGAUUAUGUGAUAAGUUAUUUCAACAUCAAACUUAAUAAGUACAACGUAUGUCAUUCAAGCAUUAGAUAUAUUAAUGUGAAUGAUACAAUCCAUUCACAUAUUUUAUAGCGUUACACGUACUUCAAGAUGUACCAUAUAUGUUCGAAUGUAAAGGUUCUACUACAUACAUGUGUUAUUUAAUACACAACUUCGAAUUAUCUUGCUGUGAAAUAUCGUGUCACGGUGUACAGUCAGAAUUAUCCGUAGUCAAACAGGCGACAUGUGGUGUUAAUAUGGCAGGCUAGCACACAGUCUGUCAAGGAAAUAAGCCAAAACGCAUGCAAGAAAAAAGCAAGCCAUUUAUGAUUUAUAAGUCAUUUCUUACACUAAUCAUAUCACACAUCUUUAGCU